ACCUGUGCCAAUUCAACAUGCAGAUCCACCUUGGAUUUGCUGUGGCAACCCCGAGUGCAAACAAGGGAGCAGCCGAAGGGACCCACUACCCCAGUAAAGGGGUGUGUCAAAUUGUUGACACAGCUACCAUCAAGUCAAUAAAAUUUAUUUUACAAAUUUAAGAUUUGUAUCAUUAACACUUCUGUCUUCAAAUUAUUAAGAUUUGUGUCAUCGGAUUGAGAUAUUUAUCAGAUUACCUAUCAAAUCUAAGAUUUCUAUUGUUAGAACAUUAACACUUGCCAUCAAAUCAUUAAGAUUUCUGUAAUCAUUUUAGAUAUUUAUCAUCAAAUGUUUAGAUGUCUUUCAUCAAAUCAUUAAGAUUUCUGUAAUCAGACGAAGACUUCCAUCAUGGGAUCUUUAGGUUUUGUAAGAUUGUUCUCAAGUGUAAAUCAUCAAUUCAUGAAGAGCUCUGACAUAGAUAUAAAAUUUAUUUUAAGAUUAAGAUUUAUGUUGACAGAUUAAAAUGUUUGUCAUCAAGUCUUUAAGAUUUCUACGUAUAAUCAGACUAAGACUUACAUCAUGAGAUGUUUAGGUUUUAUCAGAUUGUUCAAGUGUAAGUCAUCGAAUCAUGAAGAGUUCUGACGUAAUUAUAACAUUUAUUUUAAGAUUUUUGUUGACAGAUUAUUAAAAUUUUAGUCUGAUCAUAGAACUCUUAAGGAUUUGAUGACAAAGACUUCCAUCAUGGGAUCUUCAGGUUUUGUAAGAUUGUUAAAAUUACUAAAUCACAAAGAAUUCUGUUGAUAGAUUUACUAUGUUAACAGAUUAUUAAAAUAUCUGUCCUCAAAUCAUUAUGAUUUCUGUCACCAGGUUAAGACAGUUCUGAUUGUUCAGUCAUUUGCCAUGAUAUCAUUAACAAUUCUUUAAUUCAAGAUUUCUAUUGUGAGAUCAUUAGCACAUCAAAUAUUAAGAUUUCUGUAAUCAUUUUAAGAUAUUUAUCACAUUGUAGACACACACAUCUGUCAUCAAAUCAUUAUGAUUUCUAUAAUCAGAUUAAGACUUACAACAUGAGUUCUUUAAACUUUGUCAGAUUGUUAAAACAUAAAUCAUCAAAUCAUGAUGAACUUUUCUAUCAUUGAUUUGUUAAAAUUUCUGCCAUGAGAUCAUUAAGACUUUUUGUUAAACUUAAACAGCUAUUGAUGAGGAUUCUGCCUUUGAUCAAUAUUCCUGAUUAUGGGAUUGAAGGAUUAAGAUAUAGAGAUUAAAGGUCAGAUCCACCCCUUGAUCUGGAUCUGUACCAAAAUUUACUUGACCCAAGGUCUAUGUCUGCACCAGAUGUCUUUGAAGUGUAUUCACGUCUUUUUGGGAUGUCCUCCUGACAAUCACAUGGAGUGCACUUCACGUUACACCACUGUCAUGAACAUAAAUUGCACCUUCCAGCUUCUUCCUAUAGCUAGCUGACGACUUGGUGGCGUGUACCACCAAAGUGAUUUUGAAGUUGAAAAUUGAUACAUAAUGUUUCUUAAAUGCCGCAAACUAAACUAAAAGGUUCCUACUUGAAAAUGCUUUUAUAUUAGCUUGCUGUACAUCUACAUUUUAAAUAUAAAGGACUGAUUAAGUUAUUUG
This is a long non-coding RNA of Thalassophryne amazonica, 1602 nucleotides long. RefSeq lists it as uncharacterized. The transcript has 2 exons. The record is from RefSeq and is a predicted model, not a curated record. NCBI's taxonomy places the organism in Eukaryota, Metazoa, Chordata, Actinopteri, Batrachoidiformes, Batrachoididae.